Gavia stellata (red-throated loon) is the source of this 555-nucleotide long non-coding RNA. RefSeq lists it as uncharacterized. The transcript has 3 exons. The record is from RefSeq and is a predicted model, not a curated record. Lineage: Eukaryota; Metazoa; Chordata; Aves; Gaviiformes; Gaviidae.
UGUGAUGCCCUCAUUAUUCAAAGGUUUUAUUGAUAUCAUACCAGAAAGCUGGUUUCAGCUCCUGGCAAACUGGCAACACAAGAGAAGGAUUUCCUGGAUGUCAUCUUCAUUCAAACACUGAUAAAGUGCAGCCAAAGCAGGGAAGACAAAUUAAAUAUUUAAAGCAUUGCUGGAGAAGGAAAGAACUAGACAAGAAACCACAGCCUGAUUGUAAUGAAGAAGUAAAACUGGACAACUAUCAGCACUUACCCUUUGUUUUACAGUGAAAACAUACAUACAUACAUAUAACCUGACUUUGCUGAGCACAUCCUGCUUGAACCUGAGGUUUCACAGGAUCCUUCAGCACUUCCAGAACUGCUGAGAACCUGGACCACGCUCACCAGCUGGGAUGGUAGAAGAUGACAAUCCCCAUCAUUUAGCUCAGAAAUGAAUGGGUCUGACUGCUGGCCCUAGAGCAGCUGGACUAGAUAAUUGUACAGAGCGAGGGAAACACCUGGUGAAGACUCCAUAUAUUCCUAGUUACUUCUUUGUUUUACCUGGCUUAUGAAUAUUUAC